Molecule: long non-coding RNA, 3199 nt
Filed under: Fragaria vesca (wild strawberry)
Lineage: Eukaryota; Viridiplantae; Streptophyta; Magnoliopsida; Rosales; Rosaceae
Description: long non-coding RNA (FVES_LNC002518)
Source: RNAcentral
UUCCUUGCAGUGAAGACACCUUCCUUGAUCUCACUUCCCGCUUAAGUGUGUGAAGGAGGACUAAUGAAGCGGAUCUUGGAUCCAAAACCUCCUCAUUUUGAAACUCGCUGCUGAGUCAACCUGAAGACAAGUCUUUGCUUGAUGAUCCAACUGAAUGGAUACACACCUGUUCAAGGAAAACUGCAGGAACCCUGAAGCAGCAAUUGAGCUGAUUGAGCAAGAAGAUACAAAAUUUGUGAAGCAGACAAAUGAGAUGCCAUAUGAGCUCUGUAUUACUGUAUAACAGUUGGCCCAUGAUUAGAGCUCCAACUUUUGUACUCACAGUCAGAAUUCUGUGCGGCUCUUUUUAUUGCUAUCAAGAAAAGCAUUGAGAAUAUAUUUUAAAUUGUCAACUUUCUUAUUCUUCAUUCUUUUCUAGCUCAUUGGCCAGAUUGCAAAUGCAGCAUCCAAAAUAAAAAUCAUGAUUGCAUGAUUAUAUGGAAACCCACUUAUAAACAUGGCUAUAUAUCUGACAUAUAGAACUGAUGAUUUCAUGGAAGUCAUUUCUAAAUACAGCUUUCCAUUCUUAUAAACAUGGCUAUACAUGCAGUCAUGUCUUCCUAUUAUGCUAAUGAAUAUGGAUACUAAUAGGAUAGCAAAGAAAACAAGAUUUCAGGGUCAACAUGCUUUGCAGCAUCUGUGUUCUCCCACCAGACUUUAAGAAAGGAAAAAAAAAAACCAUAUGCAAGCAGUGGACAAAGGCAUUGGCUGAACAAAGCUAAAAUACGCAUCAUGAUCUCACAUUCAGGAGGAGAUGAAUGAUCAUCCACUGAAUCGACAAACAUCUUCCAAGCCGCUUAGCUUAGGAGAAAGAUAUAAUUUAUGAAGCAGACAAAUGGUGUUAUUGUAUGAGCUCUACUAGUGGUCUAGAGAGAAGACUCCCAAAUGUGAACUGGAAGAAAGUUUUAAAGUGGGAAACAUAACUUGAAAAGAUUCAAGAAAAUACUAAAUUGGCAAGUUCAAGUUAUUGAAAAGGCUAUCUUGUUCAUGUGUGAAACAGAUUCUGGAGUUCACAGUAACCUAAAGAGUAGGUUAAGUUUAGAGUUAUAGAGCUAAGUUGGCCGCAGUGUCAGAAACAAAUCAAGCAUCACAAACCAAUGACAUUCCUGAUGGCUAAUAAGGAACAAAUACAUCAGAGAUAUUAAGGUUCAUUUCUUAAAACUGCUGGUGUUCACAGUUUAGUCGUAUCAACUUUGAAUCUUUGAUACAUCCCGAAUGAUGGAAGACCAACACUUAGUUAUUCAACCGAUAAAUCCAAGAACUCAAAACUUCAGUUGCUUAGCCAUAAACAAACAAUGGAUGAAGGAAUUAAAAAAAGAAGAGAAAAUAACUAAAACUGUCUCAGGCAUUUCAUCAUACAGUUGGUGAGCAACAAUAUCAGAAUACAUACGAGCCACUGAUGGUUCAGAAUCACAAAACGUAAACAGAAAAGAACAAAAGCAAAAACCCAGAACUGACGCACUACCUGGAAUCAAACAAGGAGGGAAGGAGGGAAAAAAUCCCCAAAAACCUUCGGACCAUUUCUCGUUUUAUGCGUGCCAUACUCGCGCAGGGCUACGUUAAUCUUAACGAUAUCAUUCCAAUUUUAUCGGAUGUCCCCGAAGAGACAAACUGUACUGCCAUGUUUUCAUAUAUGAACAGCUUUCUGUUUUCGCUUUCUUCGAUGUGGGAGUCUGGGAACCAAUUUUACCAAAGCAUGUGCACCUCACGUGUCUUCUAUCGAAGUAGUAGUAAAAGGUUUAAAACUGCAGACUUCAACCGCUUUUUAUUUUUUUGAGACUUAAACUGCUAUUGACCGAAAAUUAUACAACGCACCCGUCCAUUUCCGCCGUCCAUUUUGAAAAAGUCAAAAGUCCGCGUCAAAUGGACGGCGGAGAUGGACGGGUGCGCUGAAUACGCUCUCUGCUAUUGACACCUAAGUAAGUUAAACUUACUGUUUAUACGUACUUGAAGAUCAAGUUUUUUUUUCGAUUGAUACUUGAAGAUCAUGUUGCAACGUUGUAUUUCCGGGUCUUCGGUUUUAGUGAAGGUAUAUAUUUAUGAAACAAAAUUGGGCUUCAAGUGAGGCAGUGAAACAGGAUUUACACAAAUGUUCCCUCUCAUCAUAGCUUAGGUUAUCCUUCAACAUACAUAGUUUGUUAGAUAUAUAAUACAACUUGUGGUAGCUAGUCUUCUUCUUGUCUGCUACAAAUCUAAAGGAGGUAGGGAACAUACAGUUUGGUAUCACUUGCAUGUGGAAUCAAAGUGGGGCUGAAGUUACCCAUGUGAUCUCUCACAAGCUAGUGCAUCAAACUGGAGCCCAACUCAGUUCUUCUUCACCAAUCAUUUCAUGUAGCUAGCAGAUGAGUUUCCACAUACCAUAUCACCUAUAUAUACACACAUGACCAACUCCAUCAGCAACUCAAGUCCUCUCCUUGCAAGCUAUCAAACCAAUCUCUCUCUCUUUUUUCCCAAGUGAUCCUUUGAAUUCAUUCUUUGCUUCUUUGAUCAUUUCAGUAUAUAGAAACCAUGGGUUUUCGAUUGCCUCGAAUUGCAAACACAAAGUCAUCAGAUAUCCCAAAAGGUCACUUUGUGGUCUAUGUUGGAGAGAGCCGCAAGAAACGAUUUGUGGUUCCAUUAUCAUAUUUGAACCAACCUUUGUUUCAGAAUUUGCUGAGUCAAGCUGAAGAAGAAUUCGGAUACCAUCAUCCAAUGGGAGGUAUCACAAUUCCUUGCAGUGAAGACACUUUCCUUGGUGUUACUUCUCGCUGUAGUGUGUGAGUCAAGAACACUAAGGAAGUGGGGUUGGAUAUACAACAUCCUCAUUUGGAAACUCGCAGCUGAGUCAAGAUGAAGAAGAGGCUAACUCAUCAUGUACUCGAUCAAUUCGCCUCUUGCACUGAGGGAAAACCAAAUGUGAUGGAUUCCAAGCUGAUUCUGAACUGAUAAGAAAAAGGAAGCAUCAAAUCACAUCUCAUGAAGCAGGCAAAUGACAUUGCAUGAACUCUCCAAGACAAUGAUUUUCUUGUCCAAGUUCUUGCCACCAAAUAUUGAACCCUAUGUAACAUUUUCUUGUCCUCCAGAAAGAUUAUGGGAAUGAUUUUCAAAUUAUAUUCCAAUUAUCUAUAGUAAUUUGUUAUAUCAUACUUUUUCUUGUAUAUCUGCUACAACUCUACAACAC